RNAcentral lists this ribosomal RNA (216 nucleotides) under Bacteroides caecigallinarum. RNAcentral describes it as "partial 16S ribosomal RNA". It matches the Rfam family "Bacterial small subunit ribosomal RNA", at positions 726 to 944 of the family's 1533-position model. Lineage: Bacteria; Pseudomonadati; Bacteroidota; Bacteroidia; Bacteroidales; Bacteroidaceae. The record is from RNAcentral.
CUGCUGGACCGUAACUGACGUUGAUGCUCGAAAGUGUGGGUAUCAAACAGGAUUAGAUACCCUGGUAGUCCACACGGUAAACGAUGGAUACUCGCUGUUGGCGAUAUACAGUCAGCGGCCAAGCGAAAGCAUUAAGUAUCCCACCUGGGGAGUACGCCGGCAACGGUGAAACUCAAAGGAAUUGACGGGGGCCCGCACAAGCGGAGGAACAUGUGG